CUGUGACUCCUGCGAUUUCUGCGACGUACCACCGUAUGAAAAAGUUACAUCUGUCCACACAGAAAAUUGCAUCUCAACAAAUCUGUCAUUGGUACCUGAACUACAUUUCAGUCACUCAGUAAAGUGAUAAUUCAAAAUAUCAUUGUCAACAGAGCUGAAGAAAUUGUCAGUCUUUAGACCGUUUUCGUCAGACGAGAGACGCAGUUCUGACUGAUUACUGCUUGCUGUACAUAUCUAUCCACUUCAAGGUUGUUGAGAGAGACUCGUGAAGAUUCAAG
Long non-coding RNA from Schistocerca serialis cubense, 278 nucleotides. RefSeq lists it as uncharacterized. The transcript has 3 exons. Lineage: Eukaryota; Metazoa; Arthropoda; Insecta; Orthoptera; Acrididae. The record is from RefSeq and is a predicted model, not a curated record.